This 254-nucleotide ribosomal RNA is filed under the name uncultured bacterium. Its description in RNAcentral is "partial 16S ribosomal RNA". It matches the Rfam family "Bacterial small subunit ribosomal RNA", at positions 524 to 776 of the family's 1533-position model. The record is from RNAcentral.
GACGUAGGGCGCGAGCGUUGUCCGGAUUUAUUGGGCGUAAAGAGCUCGUAGGCGGUGUGUCGCGUCGGCCGUGAAAACCUGCAGCUUAACUGUGGGCUUGCGGUCGAUACGGGCAUCACUGGAGUUCGGCAGGGGAGACUGGAAUUCUUGGUGUAGCGGUGAAAUGCGUAGAUAUCAAGAGGAACACCUGCGGCGAAGGCGGGUUGCUGGGCCGACACUGACGCUGAGGCGCGAAAGCCAGGGGAGCGAACGGG